This 398-nucleotide ribosomal RNA is filed under the name uncultured bacterium. RNAcentral's name for it is "partial 16S ribosomal RNA". It matches the Rfam family "Bacterial small subunit ribosomal RNA", at positions 338 to 733 of the family's 1533-position model. The record is from RNAcentral.
CCUACGGGGGACUGCAGUGAGGAAUAUUGGUCAAUGGACGAGAGUCUGAACCAGCCAAGCAGCGUGAAGGAUGACUGCCCUCUGGGUUGUAAACUUCUUUUAUAUGGGAAUAAAUCAGGGUAUGCAUCCCCUCUUGUAUGUACCAUAUGAAUAAGGAUCGGCUAACUCCGAGACAGCAGCCGCGGUAAUACGGAGGAUCCGAGCGUUAUCCGGAUUUAUUGGGGUUAACGGGACCGUAGGUGGAUUGUUAAGUCAGUGGUGAAAGUUUACGGCUUAACAGUAAAAUUGCAGUUGAAACUGGUAUUCUAGAGUAUAGUAGAGGUGGGCGGAAUUCGUGGUGUAGCGGUGAAAUGCGUAGAGAUCACGAAGAACUCCGAUUGCGAAGGCAGCUCACUAGA